This 486-nucleotide ribosomal RNA is filed under the name uncultured bacterium. RNAcentral describes it as "partial 16S ribosomal RNA". It matches the Rfam family "Bacterial small subunit ribosomal RNA", at positions 30 to 507 of the family's 1533-position model. The record is from RNAcentral.
AUUGAACGCUGGCGGCAUGCCUUACACAUGCAAGUCGAACGGCAGCACGGGUGCUUGCCCCUGGUGGCGAGUGGCGAACGGGUGAGUAAUACAUCGGAACAUGUCCUGUAGUGGGGGAUAGCCCGGCGAAAGCCGGAUUAAUACCGCAUACGAUCUACGGAUGACAGCGGGGGACCUUCGGGCCUCGCGCUAUAGGGUUGGCCGAUGGCUGAUUAGCUAGUUGGUGGGGUAAAGGCCUACCAAGGCGACGAUCAGUAGCUGGUCUGAGAGGACGACCAGCCACACUGGAACUGAGACACGGCCCAGACUCCUACGGGAGGCAGCAGUGGGGAAUUUUGGACAAUGGGCGAAAGCCUGAUCCAGCAAUGCCGCGUGUGUGAAGAAGGCCUUCGGGUUGUAAAGCACUUUUGUCCGGAAAGAAAUCCUUGGCCCUAAUACGGUCGGGGGAUGACGGUACCGGAAGAAUAAGCACCGGCUAACUACGUG